AUGCUUUCUUUGGCAGCACACCUUAUAAAACUGGGAUGAUACAAAAAAUACUAACAUGGCCCCUGAAUAAGAAUGACAUGCAAAUUCAUUAAGCAUUCUAUAUUUUU
This 107-nucleotide small nuclear RNA is filed under the name Castor canadensis (American beaver). Lineage: Eukaryota; Metazoa; Chordata; Mammalia; Rodentia; Castoridae. The record is from RNAcentral.